RNAcentral lists this ribosomal RNA (460 nucleotides) under uncultured bacterium. RNAcentral's name for it is "partial 16S ribosomal RNA". It matches the Rfam family "Bacterial small subunit ribosomal RNA", at positions 338 to 795 of the family's 1533-position model. The record is from RNAcentral.
CCUACGGGAGGCUGCAGUGAGGAAUAUUGGUCAAUGGACGAGAGUCUGAACCAGCCAAGUAGCGUGAAGGAUGACUGCCCUAGGGGUUGUAAACUUCUUUUAUAUGGGAAUAAAAUGUUCCACGUGUGGGAUGUUGUAUGUACCAUAUGAAUAAGGAUCGGCUAACUCCGUGCCAGCAGCCGAGGUAAUACGGAGGAUCCGAGCGUUAUCCGGAUUUAUUGGGUUUAAAGGGAGCGUAGGUGGAUUGUUAAGUCAGUUGUGAAAGUUUGCGGCUCAACCGUAAAAUUGCAGUUGAAACUGGCAGUCUUGAGUACAGUAGAGGUGGGCGGAAUUCGUGGUGUAGCGGUGAAAUGCUUAGAUAUCACGAAGAACUCCGAUUGCGAAGGCAGCUCACUGGACUGCAACUGACACUGAGGCUCGAAAGUGUGGGUAUCAAACAGGAUUAGAUACCCUAGUAGUC